Molecule: ribosomal RNA, 255 nt
Filed under: uncultured bacterium
Lineage: Bacteria
Description: partial 16S ribosomal RNA
Rfam family: Bacterial small subunit ribosomal RNA
Source: RNAcentral
GACAGAGGGUGCAAACGUUUGUUCGGAAUUACUGGGCGUAAAGCGCGUGUAGGCGGCUUUGCAAGUCGGGUGUGAAAUCCCACGGCUCAACCGUGGAAGUGCAUUCGAAACUGCGAGGCUAGAGUCCUGGAGAGGAAGGUGGAAUGCUUGGUGUAGAGGUGAAAUUCGUAGAUAUCAAGCGGAACACCGGUGGCGAAGGCGGCCUUCUGGACAGUGACUGACGCUGAGACGCGAAAGCGUGGGGAGCAAACAGGG